RNAcentral lists this ribosomal RNA (254 nucleotides) under uncultured bacterium. RNAcentral's name for it is "partial 16S ribosomal RNA". It matches the Rfam family "Bacterial small subunit ribosomal RNA", at positions 524 to 776 of the family's 1533-position model. The record is from RNAcentral.
UACAGAGGGUGCGAGCGUUGUUCGGAAUUAUUGGGCGUAAAGGGCGCGUAGGCGGUGCGGUAAGUCACCUGUGAAAUCUCCUGGCUCAACUGGGAGCUUGCAGGCGAAACUGCCGUGCUGGAGUGUGGGAGAGGUGCGUGGAAUUCCCGGUGUAGCGGUGAAAUGCGUAGAUAUCGGGGAGGAACACCUGUGGCGAAGGCGGGUCUCUGGGCAGUAACUGACGCUGAGGAGCGAAAGCGUGGGGAGCGAACAGG